RNAcentral lists this long non-coding RNA (6132 nucleotides) under Sus scrofa (pig). Its description in RNAcentral is "lncRNA (ENSSSCG00025061563.1)". The record is from RNAcentral. Lineage: Eukaryota; Metazoa; Chordata; Mammalia; Artiodactyla; Suidae.
AUCUUUAACCAUGACAAGUAUAUUAAGGAAUUUUACUAAAAUAAGAUGUAAUAUGUGAAGAAGUAAAGAAUUUUCAAGAGAGAUACAGAUAAUAUUUUUCUUUUUUCUUUUUUUAUUUAUUUUAUGUUUUUUGGCCACACCUGUGGCAUGCAGAACUUCCUAGGCCAGGGAAUCAAACCCUCACCACAGCAGCAACCCUUGUCACAACAGUGACAGCACCGGAUCCUUAACCUGCAGAGCCACCAGGGCACUUCCCAGAUAAUAUUUUUUAAUGAGAUGAAAAAUCCUAACACUGAAAAAUAUAUCUGAAAUUACUUGAUAGGAUUAUCAGUGGGUUGGACAAAAUAGUCAAAAGCAUCAUUAAACUUGAAAACAGGUUGCUAGAAAUCAUCCAAAUAAAAGUGCACUGAAAAAAAAAAUUAAAUAAACAAGUAUCAGUGACUGAUGAAGUAGUAUCAAGUGGUCUAACACAAAUGAAACUGAGCUCCUAAAAAGCAAGGAGGGAGAGCCUGGGGCAGAAAAAUAUUUGAAAAAAUAUUAGCAAAAGCUUUCCAAAAUUGAUUAAUUACAUUUUAUCCAGGAUGUUUACUUGUUUUCAGUGAAAAGUAGAUUCCAAUAGCCUAGCAUGCCAUGAAUGGAGUUUAGAAGUUAGCAAAAAAGUAAAGUUUUACGUCUACGUGAAUGAGCAGCAAGGCAUUUUAAAGGUAAAUAAAAUAUGGAAAAAUACUUCGCUGGAUGGAACUAUCCUGAACAUUACUGUACUUUUAACAUAAAUGCUGCCUAUCCACUAAACCCCAUAGUACCACCCCAGUCAUUGUAAUACCACAGCAUCCUCCCAGGUUUUCAGAAUCUCUCUCAGUGCAUAGUAUAGCCCUCCAUCCAUCAAGAUUCCCUCUCUCACAUGAUCUGCCACUGCCUCCUUUCCCCAUGCCCCUUCUAACCUCCUUCUGAUGCUCAUGUCUCUCAAACCACACUGGCGUCUUUCCAUCUCAGGGCUUUGGGGAUGGCUUUUCUCACUUCCUAAAUGAUCCUCCCCUCAAAAUCCAUUUAACUGACUCUUCUCCUCCUCGGGUUUUUGUUCGAAUGUCAUUUUCUCAGUAAGACCUGAAAAUGAAACAAAAGAAAACAAAAAACUUGCACAUUCAUUCCCCAUCCCCAGUUUAUUUUUAUCUGUAGCCUCUAUUUGAGUUGCUGUGUAUUUUACUUACUUAAUUUUCUCACGAUCUCACUUUCUUCUCCACUAGAACAUAAGUUCCAGUGAGGAGGGAGGGGAAUUUACCAUUUUUUUCUCUGUAGUUUCUUUAAUACCCUAAAUGAGUAAAAAAUUGCAACUGCUAACAUUUUUCAUGGGGCUGGCAUGUGGGCAACCUUAAUUUAUUCCUAAUAACCCCCAAAUCUUUCAAGAUAUUCCUUCAGUUUUUCAUGAAUAAGAGAGUCCCCAAAGUAUUCUACUAAUUUUUACAUUUGUAAGGUUAUGUUUGAGUGUCUUAGCAAAAAGGAUUAGAGCAGUAAAAGCUUCAGCUUUUUAACCAAGGAGAAUAAGAAAUGCGAUAUGGUUGUUUCCAAAGCAACAAAAAGCUUUACCUCAUUAAGUAGACUGAGGGCUCCUCCUUAUUAGAUUGAAAUAUCCAGUCAAAUAAGGAAGGCACCCUCACAAAGAAAAAAACACUUAGAGCUGUCAUCACAAAGAAAUUUGCCUAUUCAGUUAUAAGCUAAUUUGUGACAACUUUUUUUCUUUAGGCGCUCAGGCGUCAGGAUGGAUGAUGAACUUUCCAAAAGGAAAAAGGUGGAAAAUCAUCGAAAGUACCAUAAACUCGCUCCCAGCUAAAUAAGUGUUUCCAUGUAGCAGGUGCAGAGUCAAGGGAAAUUAUAUUCCUGUACUCUUUAGCCUACCAACAAACAGCCUAUUAACCUCCUGUCAUAAUCUAGAUUAUUCUUGAAAGCAGAGCCUAAAACAGCAGUAGACACAUUCUAUGAGGAAAUAUGAUCCCGGGGAACAGGAAUGCGACAGAGGGGACCAAACGGAGAAAAGGGAAAGAAAAUCCAAGCAAAAUGAGGUGGUGUUAUUCAGUGGUCCAUGAGAGUUCAUGGCUACUUUGUGCAGCACCUCCCCAGGAUUCUUAUUAAACUUUGUCUCAGAGUUGUCUGCCUCAGGGACAGAAAGGAGAAGCAUUUAUCUCUCAGCAGCUAUCACCUGUGUUCUGAGGGCUACUCUCAUGGGGCUACCCCCCCACCCCCACCCCAGGAGAGCCCCACUGGUGCCAUAGCAUCACAUGUGCUGCACCAGAGGACAUUUGGAACAGGAAGCUAGAUUCUUGAUGCAUGCCUGAGGUGAGGGUGAAACCUGCCCAGAGCUGUUCACCAGAGCUGUGGCUGGAAUCAGACUGGAAGAGAGUUCAAAAGAGGCAUCUUAGAAGCCUAGCAAAUGUGCUGUUAGCCCUGUCUAAAUCCGUAUUCUCCUUUCUUUCUAUCAUUAGAAUUUCAUUGUCCAGAACAACAUUGGCAGAAGGAUUAAAUAGGAAGAUUAAAUGUAUUUCCUAGAAGCUGUAUGUUAAUAAACGCUAAACCUUGAGUGACAUUUAGAAGAAAAAGUGACACUAAAACUUGGAAAAUUAAAAAAUGAUUCUGAAGAGAAUAAAGAUGAGUAACAUUAAAAAAAAAUUCUACUUGAAACAUUUUACCAUCAGAUAGCAAUAUUAGAUAUCUUCUAAACUCAUGUAAUCUCAGAAGUAAUCAAUGAAUUGUUCAGAGAAAUAAAAUUAACCAUUUCUUAUAUUUCUGUGAGCCUUAUAGAUCAGUAUCAUUAAUUUUUCCUAAAAUACUGUUUUCUACUGUCACGUAGCACUCGAGAUAACAGAGAUUACAGCUAAUGAAGGGAGAAUUGAUAGAUGUACAGGAAGGAAAAAUAGUGGGAUAAUUUCCAUAACAUAAAUAGCUGUUAUUAAUAUUGGUUGGAAUCAGGGAGGCAGAAGAACUACACAUGGUGACUUGUUUCCCCUUUGAAGUUUUAUUUUUACCAGAAAUAAUUUUCUCCCUGCCUGUACCCGUGAGACAUCAUAAUCAUCAUCUCGUAUUUGGUCUGGAAUUCCCACCUUUGAGUCAUUUAAUAUGGAUUGAGCUUCUACUAUUUCCUACAUAUUGGCACAGUGCAUAUAUGAAAGACAUGCUGUAAAACAUCUCCAAACAUUUCAGAAUACAUACUCUUAAAGUACAAUCAGAACAUUUACCAAAACUGACCAUGUGAUUGAUCACAAAUCAUCUGAACAAAUUUCAAAAGACUGAAACCCUAUAAGAAAAGUUUGCAAAAGACUAGCAAUCAGUGUUUCAAGAAGCUAGGAAAAUAGUUGUGUGAAGCAGCUUUUCAGACCUUGGACAACUGGCAGCAAAGGACCAAUCCCUGGCAGGUGAAACAGGGUGAUCCUCCCAUUGCCUCUGGAUCACACUGAAGGAGGAAGAGCUUGAGCAGAGCAGAGCAGUCUUGCUGAGUUGAGGAGACAAAGAUUAGUAUCAAGUGGGACAGAUGUCUUGAAUUUUCAGGGCAGAGUAUCAGCGAGAAAGAAGAUACGUAGAGGAAAAAAAUUCAGAAAUUUAAAUACAGAUCCCUCUCUGUCCAUUACUGAACACUAAACAAUUCCCCAAACUAUUUUAAUUUUCAUCCAGCCACAUUGAAGAGUCCUCAUGGCAAACUCCACACUUUCACUAGGAUCCCAGGAAGGUUACACCUCACUUAAGUAGGGCUAAACUAGCCUUGCAAUAAAAUCUACCAUGGACUUGCUCAAAAAAACAAGCCUCAGUAAUACAAAACUGAUCCUCAGGUUACUUAACUAUCUGCCAAAACCUAGUCCAAAUUUGUUAGUUCAGGUCCUCCAAGAAGCACAUGCAAAUAUGGGAUUAGAUUUACAAGAGAUUUUAUUGAGAAAGGUUGAAAUAGGAAGCCAAAGCAGCAGAGUCUUCAGACUACCUAGCCUGUCUCACCCCUCUGAAAGAGAGGGAGAAGGAAAGAGGGUUGAGUAGCAAAGAGUCUCAGAUGGCAACCCAAUUCCAGGAAAGUUUCAGGUCAGAACUUGCUGCUCAGAGGAGUCCCAUGUUUCACAGGAAUAGGCACGCAUUAGGAUACCUGCUCCAUGGUUGUUCCAGUGAAAACAGCCCAUGGGAAAGUAGCCUCAGCACAAAGAUAAUGGAUGCAGAGAACAGCAGGGGCCCUCAGUCAGUAUGCUCCUGUCUGCAGGAGAUCUGGGUGGUGUACUUUCAUGGCUACCAUGGUCCAUGCCUUGUGCUGCCCAGCUCUCCCCAGGGAGCAAGGCCUCCAUGGUUCCUGUGGGUCUCUCUUCCUGGGGGGAGGCUUAGAAGAUGAAGGUUAGUAUGAUGAACUACAUCCCCUCUCAGGUGAUCUCAGGGCUGCAAGUGGUCCUUACCCUCUCCUUUCUCCACUAUCCAUUUUGGAUUCCCAUCACCUUAAUCACCUCAGCAGUUCUUAGUGGUUCACCUGAUCAUGUGAUAUAAACAUUAUCACAUCUAAGGGUCUGAACCCUUAGUAAUCAUUCCCUUCUGAGAUGCCCACAAGUGUCUGUUCACGAUUACAGUAGGGAAAGGGAGCAAUGGGAGAUACCAAGUGGCUCACCUGGGAUCCACACAUAUGCCUCCCCGUUCCACUUUGUGUAAGCAGCUGACCUCCUGCUCAUGAGGGUUGACGAUGCUGUGAAUAUGGUGAUUCCUCAUCUGCGUGCCCCUGGGCACAAGGAGUACAAAGUGCCCUAGUGGCAACCAUUUCUUUAGCUCAAUGGAAACAUUACUAUAGCCCAUGACAAGAAUAUACCUCUCUGGGAACCAAGACUCCAACUUACAGAGGGCAGAGCCACAGGGCAGGAAGCAUGCAUGUUUCCAAUAAGAAGUCAUUGGGAAUACUGUAAAUAAAGCCACUCCUUUUGCCAUUCCAUUUGACUCUCAUAAUCAUCCUAUUGGGGACACAACACCAUGAAGGUCUCUGGUUUAAUGAAUACACUGUAUCCUGAAGGAAGACAACCCAAUAUUUCAGAAUGUUGCCUAAAAACUCAUACUUUAGCUAUGACUUUAGAAGACUGUUUUACACUCUGCAAGGCUGACUACAUGUAUGAGACUGCAGGUGAUGUCUGCAGUAUGUGAUAGGACCAGGAAAUCCCAUGGUCAUGGGCCUACCCUUGUACCUUCAUCACCAUCAAGUGGUCUGAUACUAUGUAAGUGCUUUACAGUAGUCCUGCCUGAGGCUCUGCAGGUAGGAAAGGCAAACCUAUACCUGAACUAGGUUCUAUCCCUGUGAGGAUAAAUUACUAGCUCUUCUCAGAUGGGAGAGGCCUGUUAUAGUCAACUUGCCACCAGAUGACCAGUCUACUUGAGGAACAGUGCCAUGUUGAGGGGUCAGUAACAGUCUCUGUGGCUGACAGAAUGGACCUUCAGAGGCCACAAUAGCUGGAUCAGCCUUGGUAAGUGACGGCCCAUGUGUUGAGCCCAUAUAUAAUUUCCAGCUCUGCCAAGGUAGCUAUUCCAUUCAUGUGCCUGUCAUAGGGUGUCUGAUAACAAAGCCUGACUAACUUCAACUAGACAAAGACAUUUUAUUUGUUUGGUGUUUAAGUUAUCCCUUCCAAAAUGGAUGCUUUCUUGUGGAUGUUAAUGUGUGAGACAAAAAUCUUCACAGUCUGUGUCCACUCCCAUAUGUCCAUCCACAUUCCUCUACACCAGACUUACUUGGCUCCAUUAUCCAGACCUUUUUUCCAUCCAAGCCCCUGAACAAGUCAAGUCAUUAGCCACUGGCCAGUAAACUACGUAUUCUCAUUUAGAACCAGUUCUCCUCUGCAUCAAGUAGAUGACCAGGUAUGCCACUCACAACUCUGCUUAUUAGAAAGGCUUGCGGAGUUCCCGUCGUGGCGCAGUGGUUAACGAAUCCGACUAGGAACCAUGAGGUUGCGGGUUCCGUCCCUGCCCUUGCUCAGUGGGUUAACGAUCCGGCGUCGCCGUGAGCUGUGGUGUAGGUUGCAGACGCGGCUCGGAUCCCGCGUUGCUGUGGCUCUGGCGUAGGCUGGUGGCUACAGCUCUGAUUCAGCCCGUAGCCUGGGAACCUCCAUAUGCCGUGGGAGCGGCCCAAGAAAUAGCAACAAC